UGGACGUAGACCGAUCGGCAUUAGGUAACGGGCUUUUAACCCGUAUUUGCAGGGUUCGAUUCCCUGACGUUCAACCA
Molecule: transfer RNA, 77 nt
Filed under: Pseudomonas phage PE09
Lineage: Duplodnaviria; Heunggongvirae; Uroviricota; Caudoviricetes; Vandenendeviridae
Description: tRNA-Lys
Rfam family: tRNA
About the family: Transfer RNA (tRNA) molecules are approximately 80 nucleotides in length. Their secondary structure includes four short double-helical elements and three loops (D, anti-codon, and T loops).
Source: RNAcentral